This 227-nucleotide long non-coding RNA is filed under the name Capsicum annuum. RNAcentral describes it as "long non-coding RNA (CANN_LNC016997)". The record is from RNAcentral. Lineage: Eukaryota; Viridiplantae; Streptophyta; Magnoliopsida; Solanales; Solanaceae.
UCCAUUUUUUAUUUAUCCCUUUUCUCAUUUUUUUUGAAAAUUUCUUCUCAAAAACUAAUUAUACAGUUCAUCAACUCUUCACCUCCCACUAUGAUUAUCUUCUUUAUUAGAGAUUUUAAUAUGUAUUCAUGUAUUCUACCACCUUCCAUCCUUAAUCUUAAUUAAUUUUACUAAUGUAUAGUAAUAAUGUGCUAAAAAUGGGAGAUAAAAAGACAAACUAAUCUCUC